This is a long non-coding RNA of Helianthus annuus (common sunflower), 306 nucleotides long. RefSeq lists it as uncharacterized. Lineage: Eukaryota; Viridiplantae; Streptophyta; Magnoliopsida; Asterales; Asteraceae. The record is from RefSeq and is a predicted model, not a curated record. The transcript has 2 exons.
CUUACUCACUGGUCACUGUCACCUGUUGCAAUGGUGAUUGGCGAUAAUUGAUUCACAUAAGGAUAAGAAAGACGAGUGUUGCUUACUAAAAGCAAGUCCGACAUCUUUGAAUUAAAGAGAUAAAAAGAGGGUCUUCAUCUCGGUCCAUGUAUUUGAUGGUUUUAAAGUUUUAAGUUUGUGUGCCUUCAUCUAGCGUUUGUAUACAUUGCGCCUUAAAUUGUAAGCACCGAUCGCAACGCAGCGGGGGUUCCAUUUAGUUUUUAAUCAAUUAUCAAGAUUUUCAUUAUUAUAUCUAUAGUUUGACUA